RNAcentral lists this ribosomal RNA (870 nucleotides) under uncultured bacterium. RNAcentral describes it as "bacterial SSU rRNA". It matches the Rfam family "Bacterial small subunit ribosomal RNA", at positions 518 to 1378 of the family's 1533-position model. The record is from RNAcentral.
CGGUAAUACGGAGGGUGCAAGCGUUGUUCGGAAUUACUGGGCUUAAAGAGCGUGUAGGCGGAAAGUCAGGUGUCGAGUGAAAGCCCCGGUCUCAAACCGGGAAUGGCUUGGCAAACCGGCUUUCUUGAGGCAGGUAGAGGUGACUGGAACGACUGGUGGAGCGGUGAAAUGCGUAGAUAUCAGUUGGAACGCCAGCGGCGAAAGCGAGUCACUGGGCCUGUCCUGACGCUGAGACGCGAAAGCGUGGGUAGCAAACAGGAUUAGAUACCCUGGUAGUCCACGCCGUAAACGAUGCGCACUAGGUAUGAGAGACUCUGACGUCGAUCGUGCCGUAGUAAAAGCGAUAAGUGCGCCGCCUGGGGAGUACGGCCCGCAAGGCUAAAACUCAAAGGAAUUGACGGGGGCUCACACAAGCGGUGGAGCAUGUGGAUUAAUUCGAAGCAACGCGAAGAACCUUACCUGGGUUUGACAUGCUAGGAUGCCCUCCUAGAAACAGGAGUAAGCUGCCUUCGGGUGAAACUAGCACAGGUGCUGCAUGGCUGUCGUCAGCUCGUGCUGUGAAGUGUCGGGUUAAGUCCCUUAACGAGCGAAACCCCUAUCGUUAGUUGCCAGCGGGUCAUGCCGGGGACUCUAGCGAGACUGCCGGUGUCAAACCGGAGGAAGGCGGGGACGACGUCAAGUCAUCAUGGCCUUUAUGCCCAGGGUGUCUCACGUGCUACAAUGGUCGGUACAGAGCGACGCGAUACCGCGAGGUGGAGCAAAUCGCAGAAAGCCGGCCCCAGUUCGGAUUGGAGUCUGCAAUUCGACUCCAUGAAGGAGGAAUCGCUAGUAAUCGCGUAUCAGCCACGACGCGGUGAAUGUGUUCCUGAG